RNAcentral lists this ribosomal RNA (400 nucleotides) under phytoplankton environmental sample. RNAcentral's name for it is "partial small subunit ribosomal RNA". It matches the Rfam family "Eukaryotic small subunit ribosomal RNA", at positions 587 to 991 of the family's 1831-position model. The record is from RNAcentral.
AGCUCCAAUAGCGUAUAUUAAAGUUGUUGCAGUUAAAAAGCUCGUAGUUGGAUUUGUGGUGUACUUCGGCGGCCCGUCACUAUGUGAUGGAGCUUGCUGAAGUCGCCAUCCUUGGGUGGAUCCUGUGUGGCAUUAAGUUGUCGUGCAGGGGAUGCCCAUCGUUUACUGUGAAAAAAUUAGAGUGUUCAAAGCAGGCUUACGCCGUUGAAUAUAUUAGCAUGGAAUAAUAAGAUAGGACCUUGGUACUAUUUUGUUGGUUUGCGCACCAAGGUAAUGAUUAAUAGGGACAGUUGGGGGUAUUCGUAUUUCAUUGUCAGAGGUGAAAUUCUUGGAUUUUUGAAAGACGAACUACUGCGAAAGCAUUUACCAAGGAUGUUUUCAUUAAUCAAGAACGAAAGUA